Molecule: small nuclear RNA, 153 nt
Filed under: Pyramimonas obovata
Lineage: Eukaryota; Viridiplantae; Chlorophyta; Pyramimonadophyceae; Pyramimonadales; Pyramimonadaceae
Description: partial Dictyostelium signal recognition particle
Source: RNAcentral
CAAAGACAUUGACGAGGUUGUUGAUCGACGCGCUACGUGCGAACGGCGUGACAGCACCUUGAACAAAGUAUAGGCAGGAGCCAGCAACCAAGGCAAGUAAGAAUUGCACCCUCGCACGAUAAAGAGCAACCACGCCUCGGCGGGCGGCUGACA